Pelobates cultripes (western spadefoot toad) is the source of this 207-nucleotide non-coding RNA. NCBI's taxonomy places the organism in Eukaryota, Metazoa, Chordata, Amphibia, Anura, Pelobatidae. The record is from the annotation of a GenBank genome assembly.
AGAAAAUCUAAUGACAUGGCCUCCUUGUUCACCUGAUCUGAACCCCAUUGAGAACCUGUGGUCCAUCAUCAAAUGUGAGAUUUACAAGGAGGGAAAACAGUACACCUCUCUGAACAGUGUCUGGGAGGCUGUGGAUGCUGCUGCACGCAAUGUUGAUGGUGAACAGAUCAAAACACUGACAGAAUCCAUGGAUGGCAGGCUUUUGAG